Panicum hallii is the source of this 625-nucleotide long non-coding RNA. RefSeq lists it as uncharacterized. The record is from RefSeq and is a predicted model, not a curated record. Lineage: Eukaryota; Viridiplantae; Streptophyta; Magnoliopsida; Poales; Poaceae. The transcript is spliced from 2 exons.
AGAGGGUGCGUCCGCAAGAACGCGCGACCUCCUCGUCUCACGUCUCUCCCACUCCCGAAACCUGCGCCACCGGCGCCGCUGCCGCCGAAAUCCGCAGUGGUGCACAUCCCGCCGAUCCUCUUGACGCUCUCCCUCUCCUCCUUGGCCAGGUGCAUCUCGAAGGCUUUGUUGGCGCGGUGGAGGGCCUUGCCGUCGGCAUCCGGGGACCUGUCCCAGGGGACAUGUAGCCCUCCCGCUCCUCGCCUCCACCCUUGUCGGGGCCGGUGGCACCGAGGACAGCAGCAAGGCAAGCGUCAGAUUUGAAGAAACAAGAUGCUUGGAGGGAUACAAUAUUUUGUAGUUUUUCUUGUGAGCUUACUAUGAUUAGUUUAAUCAUCUAUCCUUAUUUGUUUUCUGAUGAUGAUGCUAUCUAUCCUAGUUUGAUUAUCCAUGGUGAUUACUGGGGGGGGGGGGUAUCAAAAGGCCCUGUGAGGUAUCAAGUUUACAACUGGAAGAAGCUAGCGGUUCCUUGGAAGAAGCUACCAGUUCUUGUUUAUUCGUGAUGAUGUAAUACAAUUCUAAUUUGAAUAUUUGAUUGAUGAUAGAAGAUACGGUUGUUCUGAGUAUUAAUGCCCUUUUUAACUUU